This 65-nucleotide transfer RNA is filed under the name Ducetia japonica. RNAcentral's name for it is "tRNA-Cys". The record is from RNAcentral. Lineage: Eukaryota; Metazoa; Arthropoda; Insecta; Orthoptera; Tettigoniidae.
GGCUUUAUAGUCAAAAAUGAUAUUAGACUGCAAUUCUAAAGGAGUAGAAUGUUCUACUGAGGCCU